CUACGGAGGGUGCAAGCGUUAUUCGGAAUCACUGGGCGUAAAGGACGCGUAGGCGGGUUGGCAAGUCAGAUGUGAAAUCCUACAGCUUAACUGUAGAACUGCAUUUGAAACUGCUAACCUAGAGUAUGGGAGGGGGAGAUGGAAUUAGUGGUGUAGGGGUAAAAUCCGUAGAUAUCACUAGGAAUACCGAAAGCGAAGGCGAUCUCCUGGAACAUAACUGACGCUAAGGCGUGAAAGCGUGGGGAGCAGACAGGAUUAGAAACCCUUGUAGUCC
Molecule: ribosomal RNA, 274 nt
Filed under: uncultured bacterium
Lineage: Bacteria
Description: partial 16S ribosomal RNA
Rfam family: Bacterial small subunit ribosomal RNA
Source: RNAcentral